RNAcentral lists this ribosomal RNA (205 nucleotides) under uncultured bacterium. Its description in RNAcentral is "partial 16S ribosomal RNA". It matches the Rfam family "Bacterial small subunit ribosomal RNA", at positions 152 to 353 of the family's 1533-position model. The record is from RNAcentral.
GGAAAGGAAGUAAUAAUACGCAUAAGAUUGUAGUAUCGCAUGAUAUAGCAAUUAAAGGAGCAAUCCGCUAUAAGAUGGACCCGCGUCGCAUUAGCUAGUUGGUGAGGUAAUGGCUCACCAAGGCGACGAUGCGUAGCCGACCUGAGAGGGUGAUCGGCCACAUUGGGACUGAGACACGGCCCAGACUCCUACGGGAGGCAGCAUG